GGUCCAUGUCAAAUCAUAUAUAUUCAUAUAUAUUGCAGAUUAUUCUUUUUGCAGAGAGAGAAUCAAAAUCACUUUGCGUGCAGCAUCGAUUGGGUCGGAAAUCGAGGGUUUGGUAAGCGAGAUCGCCGCCGGUGACAGACUGACAGGGACGAGAUGGACGCCGGCGGAGGCGGCGUCUUGGCCGCCGUGCUCUGCAUGCUGCUGGUCUUCGCCAUCUUCCUUCUCCUCCUCUGGCGCCGCCGCUCCGAUGCCGCCACCGCCGAUAACCACCGCGUCCCGCCCCAGCCCCUCCAGGAGGAUCAGGUGCUGCACGGUCGCGCGGCGGCGCGACGGAUGCGUCGGAGGCCUGGGGCUGCCGGAGCAGGCUCCUCUACUGCGUCAACUAGCCGCAAUGCUGUAGAGGACGACGCGGAGAGUGACGAUGAGGAGGUCCCCGAAGGUCGCAACGUACCCAGAUCCUCCAAAAAGGAGAAGAAAAGGCAAGAGCGAGAGAUGCAGCGUCAGGCCGAAGAACCUGCACGGGAUUCAUGGAGGAGUAAACAAGACCGAUACGACGAAAUGAGGAGGAAGAAGGAUGAGGAGCGUGAGGCACAAGAGAGGCAAUUGGAAGAAGAAGCUAGGGCACGAAAAGCAAAGGAGGAGGCUGCUGCUGCUUUAGAGUUUGAGAAAUGGAAAGGGGCCUUCUCUGUUGAUGCUGAAGGUACAACAGAGAGUGAGACACAAGACGAUGGUCAGGGUUUGCUCCACAACUUUGUGGAAUACAUCAAGAAGCAGAAGUGUGUUCCCCUAGAGGACCUAGCUGCAGAGUUCAGGAUGCGAACCCAGGACUGUAUCAAUCGGAUUGUUACUCUGGAAAGCAUGGAUAGGUUAUCUGGGGUGAUGGAUGACCGUGGGAAGUUCAUCUACAUCUCCACUGAAGAGAUGAAGGCAGUUGCAGAGUACAUUAGGAAGCAAGGGAGAGUGAGCAUAUCACAUCUGGCCAACAACUCAAACCAGUUCAUCGAUCUGGAGCCGAAGGCCCAGUACGAGGUGGAGAGCCAGCAGGAUGACAGUGCAGAAGCAGGCACAGAAGCAUGAGAAUUCCUUGUGACCUGGCACCAUGUCGUGCUCAAUGAUGUUUUGUAGUGUGAUGACUUAACAUGGUUUGAGUUGGGCACUGGCCAUAUAAUAUAUGCAGUAGUCGGUAUAAACAUACUUGUUCUGACAUGCUAGAUACCAUUACCCCAUGCAGAGAACUCAGGCUUUUGUUCUAUCAUCAUGAUUGAAAAUCAUCGGUUGACCUUGGUGGUGUUGGGGAGGAGGGAGGUGGUGUUUGAGUCUAGCAGCAAGAGAUUUGGCAAUGAUUCUGUAGAUGACAAAGACUUUGCUCGGAGACAAGGCAGACUUGUAGUCAGGUUCACAAAUCGUCCUAUUAGUAAUAUAUAGCCUUUGCAGUGCCGGUUGUGUUCUUUUA
Zea mays is the source of this 1453-nucleotide RNA transcript. RefSeq lists it as uncharacterized. The transcript is spliced from 8 exons. NCBI's taxonomy places the organism in Eukaryota, Viridiplantae, Streptophyta, Magnoliopsida, Poales, Poaceae. The record is from RefSeq and is marked provisional.